Molecule: ribosomal RNA, 253 nt
Filed under: uncultured bacterium
Lineage: Bacteria
Description: partial 16S ribosomal RNA
Rfam family: Bacterial small subunit ribosomal RNA
Source: RNAcentral
UACGAAGGGAGCUAGCGUUGUUCGGAAUCACUGGGCGUAAAGCGCACGUAGGCGGAUGUGUCAGUCAGGGGUGAAAUCCCGGAGCUCAACUUCGGAACUGCCUUUGAUACAGCACGUCUUGAGUCCGGUAGGGGAGCGUGGAAUUCCUGGUGUAGCGGUGAAAUGCGCAGAUAUCAGGAGGAACACCAGCGGCGAAGGCGGCGCUCUGGGCCGGUACUGACACUGAGGAGCGAAAGCGUGGGUAGCAAACAGG